CGCGUAAACAUUACCGGUCCGGCGCAUAACCUCUUUAUAUUUAUAGCGCCGAGACGCCGUGUCUCGUGAUGCUGAUAAACAAAAUUAAGUAGGCGCAUAAACUGGAUUUUUCUUUCUGAAGACGACAAAUUUUCCUAUUAAGCUUCUCCUGCGUGCAUUUCGAAAGUACAGGAUUCUCGGUACAAUAGCACUGCUCGUUUUUCGCGUGUAACAAUUGUAACGCGAUAUACAGGGAUAGUCGCUUUUGCGAGGAGAACAAGACGGAAAUCCAAAGCGCCGAGAUACGCACGGAGCAAAGGAACGUAUACAUGCUCCUUACGGAAGCUCGCUCGCGCGGAGUCCCCCAUGGCUCUUGCGAGCAGAUGGGAUCCUGUUGAUGUUGUUGUCGUCGGGGGCUCGCCAUUCCUGCCCGUUUCGGCUAAAAGGGAUCGUUAUUGAACGCGCUUAUGAAACGGAACGUGCUUAUGAAGGGGGAGAAUGGGACGCGCGCCGCCGAUAUACGUAUAGUAAUAGCAAUAAUAAUAAUCGGCGUCGCGGGAAAAAAAAGGAGAACGGAAGUGUGCUCCGAGGCCACGUGGUAUCCUGAUACAGGUUUCAUUCAAAAGAUGCUACCACGGACCACGCCCAAUUAACGCGCUUCUUGUAGCUCGACAGAGAGAGAGAGAGACUGUCGGAGAUGCGUCGUAAAUGGACUUUAAACAUUUCAUUUAUCACGAACCUAAACCAGGAUGUCUCUGGACGAGGGCUUGCGCGAUACUCGGCUGGACCUUUUGUAUUAGCUGUGGAUUACCGAUG
Long non-coding RNA from Wasmannia auropunctata (little fire ant), 795 nucleotides. RefSeq lists it as uncharacterized. The transcript is spliced from 3 exons. The record is from RefSeq and is a predicted model, not a curated record. Lineage: Eukaryota; Metazoa; Arthropoda; Insecta; Hymenoptera; Formicidae.